RNAcentral lists this ribosomal RNA (482 nucleotides) under uncultured bacterium. RNAcentral describes it as "partial 16S ribosomal RNA". It matches the Rfam family "Bacterial small subunit ribosomal RNA", at positions 30 to 507 of the family's 1533-position model. The record is from RNAcentral.
AUUGAACGCUGGCGGCGUGCCUUAUACAUGCAAGUCGAACGGUAACAGGCCGCAAUGUGUCGACGGGUGGUGAACGGGUGAGUAAGGCAUCCGAACGUGCCCAGUCGGGGGGGAUAACUACUCGAUUGGGUAGCUAAUACCACAUACCAUCUAAGGAUUUGAGCGGGGGACUUUAAUGCAUCGCGCCAUUUGAGCGGCCAAUGUUAGAUUAGGCAGUUGGUGAGGUAAAGGCUGACCAAGCCAACGAUCCGUAGCUGGCCUGAGAGGAGGACCGGCCACACUGGAACUGAGACACGGCCCAGACUCCUACGGGAGGCAGCAGUGGGGAAUUUUGGACAAUGGGCGAAAGCCUGACGCAGCAAUGCCGCGUGCAGGAAGAAGGCCUUCGGGUUGUAAACUGCUUUUGUACGGAACGAAAAGGCUCGGGUUAAAACCCGCACCUAGUGACGGUACCGUAACAGAAAGCAACGGCUAACUACGUG